Molecule: ribosomal RNA, 578 nt
Filed under: uncultured Spirochaetota bacterium
Lineage: Bacteria; Pseudomonadati; Spirochaetota
Description: bacterial SSU rRNA
Rfam family: Bacterial small subunit ribosomal RNA
Source: RNAcentral
CUAAGAAUCUUCCGCAAUGGGCGAAAGCCUGACGGAGCGACGCCGCGUGAACGAUGAAGGCCGUGAGGUUGUAAAGUUCUUUUCGGGAGGAGGAAUAAGUGCGGCAGGCAAUGGCCGCGCGAUGACGUCAAUCCCGGAAUAAGCCCCGGCUAACUACGUGCCAGCAGCCGCGGUAACACGUAGGGGGCGAGCGUUGUUCGGAAUCAUUGGGCGUAAAGGGCGUGCAGGCGGCCCUGCAAGUCUGGCGUGAAAAGCCCCGGCUCAACCGGGGAGACGCGCUGGAAACUGCGGGGCUAGAGUACAGGAGGGGAUGCCGGAAUUCCAGGUGUAGGGGUGAAAUCUGUAGAUAUCUGGAGGAACACCAAUGGCGAAGGCAGGCAUCUGGCCAUGUACUGACGCUGAGACGCGAAGGUGCGGGGAGCAAACAGGUUUAGAUACCCUGGUAGUCCGCACAGUAAACGAUGUUCACUAGGUGGCGGGGGGUCGACCCUCGGUACCGGAGCUAACGCAUUAAGUGAACCGCCUGGGGAGUAUGCUCGCAAGGGUGAAACUCAAAGGAAUUGACGGAGACGUCUACU